RNAcentral lists this ribosomal RNA (448 nucleotides) under uncultured bacterium. RNAcentral describes it as "bacterial SSU rRNA". It matches the Rfam family "Bacterial small subunit ribosomal RNA", at positions 355 to 796 of the family's 1533-position model. The record is from RNAcentral.
UCGGGAAUUUUGGGCAAUGGGCGCAAGCCUGACCCAGCAACGCCGCGUGAAGGAUGAAGUUUUUCGGAAUGUAAACUUCACAAGAAUGGGACGAAGAGAAGAGGGCUAAUACCUUUCUGAUUUGACGGUACCAUUUGUAAGCUCCGGCUAACUCCGUGCCAGCAGCCGCGGUAAUACGGGGGGAGCAAGCGUUGUUCGGAUUUACUGGGCGUAAAGGGCGCGUAGGCGGCGCGACAAGUCACCUGUGAAAUCUCCGGGCUUAACUCGGAGCGGUCAAGUGAUACUGUCGCGCUAGAGUGCGGAAGGGGCAACUGGAAUUCUCGGUGUAGCGGUGAAAUGCGUAGAUAUCGAGAGGAACACCUGCGGCGAAGGCGGGUUGCUGGGCCGACACUGACGCUGACAGCGCGAAAGCUAGGGGAGCGAACGGGAUUAGAUACCCGCGUAGUCC